UACAGAGGGUGCUAGCGUUGUUCGGAAUUAUUGGGCGUAAAGGGUGUGUAGGCGGUUGUUUAAGUUUGGUGUGAAAUCUCCCGGCUCAACUGGGAGGGUGCGCCGAAUACUGAAUGACUUCGAGUGCGGGAGAGGAGAGUGGAAUUCCUGGUGUAGCGGUGAAAUGCGUAGAUAUCAGGAGGAACACCGGUGGUGUAGACGGCUCUCUGGACCGUAACUGACGCUGAGACACGAAAGCGUGGGUAGCAAACAGG
Molecule: ribosomal RNA, 254 nt
Filed under: uncultured bacterium
Lineage: Bacteria
Description: partial 16S ribosomal RNA
Rfam family: Bacterial small subunit ribosomal RNA
Source: RNAcentral